UACGUAGGUGGCAAGCGUUGUCCGGAUUUACUGGGCGUAAAGAGCGCGCAGGCGGUCGUUCAAGUCGCGUGUGAAAGCCCCCGGCUCAACUGGGGAGGGUCACGCGAUACUGAUCGACUCGAAGGCAGGAGAGGGUAGUGGAAUUCCCGGUGUAGUGGUGAAAUGCGUAGAUAUCGGGAGGAACACCAGUGGCGAAGGCGGCCUUCUGGACGGUGACUGACGCUGAGACGCGAAAGCGUGGGGAGCAAACAGG
This 253-nucleotide ribosomal RNA is filed under the name uncultured bacterium. RNAcentral's name for it is "partial 16S ribosomal RNA". It matches the Rfam family "Bacterial small subunit ribosomal RNA", at positions 524 to 776 of the family's 1533-position model. The record is from RNAcentral.